Galleria mellonella (greater wax moth) is the source of this 340-nucleotide RNA transcript. RefSeq lists it as uncharacterized. The record is from RefSeq and is a predicted model, not a curated record. The transcript is spliced from 4 exons. NCBI's taxonomy places the organism in Eukaryota, Metazoa, Arthropoda, Insecta, Lepidoptera, Pyralidae.
UACACAAACUGUCAAACGUCAGUCAUUCAAACGAAAAAGAUUGUUGUUUUAGUUAGAAUUAAAAAUUGGCACUCUUUGAAAUUAAAACAAAUUUACAUAAUCUUUACAAUUUUUUUCAAGGAUGAUCAAAGCGUUGAUAAUAUUUGGUACUGGAGUUUACACUGGUGUUUAUGUAGCACAAAAUUAUCAGGAUGUUGUUCGACUUAUUUGUAAGAGAACAGUUCAGGAAUGUGACAAAUCAAUGGAUAGAAAAAAAUGAUAGACAAAGUUGAAGAUCCAAAGGCAUUGCUUGAAAAAGCACAAGCUUAUCUGAAGGAUAAAAUGGCAGAAUUCAGUGAAG